AGUGAACGCUGGCGGUAGGCCUAACACAUGCAAGUCGAACGGCAGCACCGUAAGAGCUUGCUCUUACGGGUUGCGAGUGGCGGACGGGUGAGGAAUAUAUCCGAAUCUACUUUUUCGUGGGGGUUAACGUAGGGAAACUUACGCUAAUACCGCAUACCACCUACGGGUGAAAGCAGGGGAUAUUCGGACCUUGCGCGAUUGGAUUAGCGGCUGUCGGAUUAGCUAGUUGGCGGGGUAAAUGCCCACCAAGGGGAGGAUCCGUAGCCGGUGUGGGAGGAUGGUCGCCCACACUGGAAGUGGGACACGGUCAAGAGUCCUACGGGAGGCAGCAGUGGGGAAUAGUGGGCAAUGGGCGCAAGCCUGAUCCAGCGGUACCGAGUGGGUGACGAAGGCCUUCGGUUUGGAAAGACCUUUUGUUGGGAAAGAAAAGCAGCAGCUUAAUACCCCGCUGUUGUGACGGUACCCAAAGAAUAAGCACCGGCUAACUUCGUG
RNAcentral lists this ribosomal RNA (492 nucleotides) under uncultured bacterium. RNAcentral describes it as "partial 16S ribosomal RNA". It matches the Rfam family "Bacterial small subunit ribosomal RNA", at positions 29 to 507 of the family's 1533-position model. The record is from RNAcentral.